UCUCCGUAGGUGAACCUGCGGAGGGAUCAUUCACAUGAUUUAUCUUUUAAACAAACCGUGAACUUUAAAACAAAAACUAUUCGUGUGUUGAAUUUAUUCUUCACACUGUCAUUCGAUCUGAACAUAAAGAUAGUUGGCUUGUUUUUUUUGAAUUGAAAUUUAUUUCAUUAAAACUUUCUCAGCUUGAUUCAUUGUGAAACUAAACACUUCAUAAUAAUCACCAAUAAACAUAGAAACAACUCUAUGUCCUGGAUAUCUUGGUUCUC
This 266-nucleotide unclassified non-coding RNA is filed under the name plant metagenome. Its description in RNAcentral is "partial contains small subunit ribosomal RNA, internal transcribed spacer 1, and 5.8S ribosomal RNA". The record is from RNAcentral.